AUGCAAGUCGAACGGUGAAGCAGAGCUUGCUCUGUGGAUCAGUGGCGAACGGGUGAGUAACACGUGAGCAACCUGCCCUGGACUCUGGGAUAAGCGCUGGAAACGGCGUCUAAUACUGGAUAUGAGAUGCGAUCGCAUGGUCGUGUUUGGAAAGAUUUUUCGGUCUGGGAUGGGCUCGCGGCCUAUCAGCUUGUUGGUGAGGUAAUGGCUCACCAAGGCGUCGACGGGUAGCCGGCCUGAGAGGGUGACCGGCCACACUGGGACUGAGACACGGCCCAGACUCCUACGGGAGGCAGCAGUGGGGAAUAUUGCACAAUGGGCGAAAGCCUGAUGCAGCAACGCCGCGUGAGGGAUGACGGCCUUCGGGUUGUAAACCUCUUUUGGUAGGGAAGAAGCCUUCGGGUGACGGUACCUGCAGAAAAAGCGCCGGCUAACUACGUGCCAGCAGCCGCGGUAAUACGUAGGGCGCAAGCGUUAUCCGGAAUUAUUGGGCGUAAAGAGCUCGUAGGCGGUCUGUCGCGUCUGCUGUGAAAUCCCGAGGCUCAACCUCGGGCUUGCAGUGGGUACGGGCAGACUAGAGUGCGGUAGGGGAGAUUGGAAUUCCUGGUGUAGCGGUGGAAUGCGCAGAUAUCAGGAGGAACACCGAUGGCGAAGGCAGAUCUCUGGGCCGUUACUGACGCUGAGGAGCGAAAGGGUGGGGAGCAAACAGGCUUAGAUACCCUGGUAGUCCACCCCGUAAACGUUGGGAACUAGUUGUGGGGUCCUUUCCACGGAUUCCGUGACGUAGCUAACGCAUUAAGUUCCCCGCCUGGGGAGUACGGCCGCAAGGCUAAAACUCAAAGGAAUUGACGGGGACCCGCACAAGCGGCGGAGCAUGCGGAUUAAUUCGAUGCAACGCGAAGAACCUUACCAAGG
This 915-nucleotide ribosomal RNA is filed under the name Microbacterium aquimaris. RNAcentral describes it as "bacterial SSU rRNA". It matches the Rfam family "Bacterial small subunit ribosomal RNA", at positions 55 to 979 of the family's 1533-position model. Lineage: Bacteria; Bacillati; Actinomycetota; Actinomycetes; Micrococcales; Microbacteriaceae. The record is from RNAcentral.